RNAcentral lists this ribosomal RNA (1179 nucleotides) under Microbacterium sp. RNAcentral's name for it is "bacterial SSU rRNA". It matches the Rfam family "Bacterial small subunit ribosomal RNA", at positions 156 to 1348 of the family's 1533-position model. The record is from RNAcentral. Lineage: Bacteria; Bacillati; Actinomycetota; Actinomycetes; Micrococcales; Microbacteriaceae.
ACAGCUGCUAAUACCGGAUACGAGCUGCGAAGGCAUCUUCAGCAGCUGGAAAGAAUUUCGGUCCGGGAUGGGCUCGCGGCCUAUCAGCUAGUUGGUGAGGUAAUGGCUCACCAAGGCGUCGACGGGUAGCCGGCCUGAGAGGGUGACCGGCCACACUGGGACUGAGACACGGCCCAGACUCCUACGGGAGGCAGCAGUGGGGAAUAUUGCACAAUGGGCGAAAGCCUGAUGCAGCAACGCCGCGUGAGGGAUGACGGCCUUCGGGUUGUAAACCUCUUUUAGCAGGGAAGAAGCGAAAGUGACGGUACCUGCAGAAAAAGCGCCGGCUAACUACGUGCCAGCAGCCGCGGUAAUACGUAGGGCGCAAGCGUUAUCCGGAAUUAUUGGGCGUAAAGAGCUCGUAGGCGGUUUGUCGCGUCUGCUGUGAAAACCCGAGGCUCAACCUCGGGCCUGCAGUGGGUACGGGCAGACUAGAGUGCGGUAGGGGAGAUUGGAAUUCCUGGUGUAGCGGUGGAAUGCGCAGAUAUCAGGAGGAACACCGAUGGCGAAGGCAGAUCUCUGGGCCGUAACUGACGCUGAGGAGCGAAAGGGUGGGGAGCAAACAGGCUUAGAUACCCUGGUAGUCCACCCCGUAAACGUUGGGAACUAGUUGUGGGGUCCAUUCCACGGAUUCCGUGACGCAGCUAACGCAUUAAGUUCCCCGCCUGGGGAGUACGGCCGCAAGGCUAAAACUCAAAGGAAUUGACGGGGACCCGCACAAGCGGCGGAGCAUGCGGAUUAAUUCGAUGCAACGCGAAGAACCUUACCAAGGCUUGACAUAUACGAGAACGGGCCAGAAAUGGUCAACUCUUUGGACACUCGUAAACAGGUGGUGCAUGGUUGUCGUCAGCUCGUGUCGUGAGAUGUUGGGUUAAGUCCCGCAACGAGCGCAACCCUCGUUCUAUGUUGCCAGCACGUAAUGGUGGGAACUCAUGGGAUACUGCCGGGGUCAACUCGGAGGAAGGUGGGGAUGACGUCAAAUCAUCAUGCCCCUUAUGUCUUGGGCUUCACGCAUGCUACAAUGGCCGGUACAAAGGGCUGCAAUACCGCAAGGUGGAGCGAAUCCCAAAAAGCCGGUCCCAGUUCGGAUUGAGGUCUGCAACUCGACCUCAUGAAGUCGGAGUCGCUAGUAAUCGCAGA